AUGCUGUACAGCGUUCUCUCUUCUUCUCUAGAAAACUUCGUUGGUGGCCAGUUGCUUACAAUGGAUUGUCCUCGAGGUUACCCGCAAAAACAGAGAUGUAUACUCAGCUUUUGGAAAACUAGCCUUGAGGGCUUCCAAUUUUCAAUAAAAACUGGCUACUUUAAUGACCCGGUAUCUCAAGCCCAGUGCCUGGUUUUCCUUCGAAGGGGUCUCGCCAGGGCCUUGGACAGAGAGUUUUUCCCCAGUAAGCAUGAGUUCCAGACCUUUCGCAGGCGCUCUCAGGCACCCUCUGCCGCCUCCAGGUCCAGCCAGCAACUUCUUUCACAAUCUUCCCCAAGUUUGGAAGCUUCCGUCAAGUGUCCUGGCUUUGGCCCGCCAGUCUGCUGUCUCCGGGUUCCCAUAGAACUCCAAGUCCGAGAGCCUGGGACUCCCGACCCCCUACACUCCCGCGGAGCCCAGCCCCGGGCCUCUCCCGGGGGUCCCUACUUUCCCCGCCUUUACCUGACGCCUGCCAGCCCGUCCGUGACUAGGGGUGCAGCAGCCUCCUCCCACCGCCAGUCCUUCCAUUGGCUCGGGCGGCUGCCCGUCUACCCCGCCUGCCCCUGCUCGGGUCCGGAGGCAGGUUUAGCUAAAGGAGCGGUGGCCGCUUCAGCUCCAGCCCAGGCAGCAGCCGCCGGAGGAGAAAGGAGGUCGGGCAAGCGGGCGCGGGAGGGAACGGCAGAGCUAGGAGUCGCUGCUGGUGCCUGCUUAGCAUGUCCCUGCGCACAGGAGUUCCCCCACGACGCCGCCGCCUCCCUAGCUCCAGCAGUAGCAGCAGCAACAGCAGCAGCAGCGCCACCGCCGCCGACUCCCGAGCAGCAAACUUGGCAGCGAUGUCUCCCGGCUUCGAGCUGGCCAUGUAGCAGCUCGCCAGGCUCCCCCUGGACCUCUGUCCGCGCCUCUUCCCUCUGGGCCAGGGGGAAGAGAGCGAGAGCGAGAGCUAGCCGGAGGCUGAGCAGCGCGGCAUGCAUUCAGCAGCCGUGGGCCCCUGACACGGGUGCUCCGAGACGUCUCCCCGAGCGAGGGACAGUGCCCUUCGGUGGGUGCCCGGGCUGGACUUCGGGGAGAGCGAGGGAAAUGAGCGAGAAACUUUCGGAGCCGCCGGAGCCUGUGCCCCACCGCGGCUGCUGCAGCAGUAGCAGCAGUCUGGUCCCUGCUCCGGCGGACGUUCCCGCCGCAAACGCGUCCCCUUGUACCUCAUCGUCUGUGUCCUCUUCUGGCUCUGAAACUCUGUCAGAGGAAGGGGAGCCUAGUGGCCAGGUCGCCUCUUCGGUCGGCCAGCAUCAGCAGCCGCAGCAACAGCCUCAGCAGCAGCAGCAGCCUUCUGCCCCGCCAGCUCCGGGCGCAGAAGGGCGGGGAGAAGCCCGACGGCGGCAGCAGUUGGAGCCGCAGGCAGAUCGCGGUGCGGCCGGGCAGUCCGGGAGCCUGGGAGCCUUGCUGCCCGGGGCUGAGUGCGGCGGCGCGUCGCAGGAGGAACAAGAUGAGGAGGUUCCUUGGGCAAUACAGAGGUGUUAG
Monodelphis domestica (gray short-tailed opossum) is the source of this 1554-nucleotide long non-coding RNA. NCBI's taxonomy places the organism in Eukaryota, Metazoa, Chordata, Mammalia, Didelphimorphia, Didelphidae. The record is from Ensembl.